UAAUACGAAGGGGGCUAGCGUUGCUCGGAAUCACUGGGCGUAAAGGGCGCGUAGGCGGACGUUUAAGUCGGGGGUGAAAUCCUGAGGCUCAACCUCAGAAUUGCCUUCGAUACUGGGCGUCUCGAGACCGGAAGAGGUGAGUGGAACUGCGAGUGUAGAGGUGAAAUUCGUAGAUAUUCGCAAGAACACCAGUGGCGAAGGCGGCUCACUGGUCCGGUUCUGACGCUGAGGCGCGAAAGCGUGGGGAGCAAACAGGAUUAGAUACCCUGGUAGUCCACGCCGUAAACGAUGGAUGCUAGCCGUUGGCGAGCUUGCUCGUCAGUGGCGCAGUUAACACUUUAAGCAUCCCGCCUGGGGAGUACGGUCGCAAGAUUA
RNAcentral lists this ribosomal RNA (375 nucleotides) under uncultured bacterium. RNAcentral's name for it is "bacterial SSU rRNA". It matches the Rfam family "Bacterial small subunit ribosomal RNA", at positions 521 to 896 of the family's 1533-position model. The record is from RNAcentral.